AUAAUCUGGCACCUUCGGUGUCCGAGUUGUAAUCUCUAGAAAUGUUUUCCGCGUUGGACCGCACACAAGUCUGUUGGAAUACAGCGGCAUAGUGGUGAGACCCCCGUAUAUGGUGCGGACGCCCAGCGCUUUGUGAUACAUUUUCGAAGAGUCGAGUUGUUUGGGAAUGCAGCUCAAAUUGGGUGGUAAAUUCCAUCUAAAGCUAAAUAUUGGCGAGAGACCGAUAGCGAACAAGUACCGUGAGGGAAAGAUGAAAAGCACUUUGGAAAGAGAGUUAACAGUACGUGAAAUUGUUGGAAGGGAAACGCUUGAAGUCAGACUUGCUUGCCGAGCAAUCGGUUUGCAGGCCAGCAUCAGUUUUCCGGGAUGGAUAAUGGUAGAGAGAAGGUAGCAGUUUCGGCUGUGUUAUAGCUCUCUGCUGGAUACAUCUUGGGGGACUGAGGAACGCAGUGUGCCUUUUGGCGGGGGUUUCGACCUCUUCACACUUAGGAUGCUGGUGGAAUGGCUUUAAA
RNAcentral lists this ribosomal RNA (512 nucleotides) under Rhodotorula mucilaginosa. RNAcentral's name for it is "partial large subunit ribosomal RNA". It matches the Rfam family "Eukaryotic large subunit ribosomal RNA", at positions 117 to 644 of the family's 3401-position model. The record is from RNAcentral. Lineage: Eukaryota; Fungi; Basidiomycota; Microbotryomycetes; Sporidiobolales; Sporidiobolaceae.